UACGAAGGGGGCUAGCGUUGCUCGGAAUCACUGGGCGUAAAGCGCACGUAGGCGGAUUGCUAAGUCAGGGGUGAAAUCCUGGAGCUCAACUCCAGAACUGCCUUUGAUACUGGCGUGCUUGAGGACUGGAGAGGAGACUGGAAUUUACGGUGUAGCGGUGAAAUGCGUAGAUAUCGUAAGGAAGACCAGUGGCGAAGGCGGGUCUCUGGACAGUUCCUGACGCUGAGGCACGAAGGCCAGGGGAGCAAACGGG
This 253-nucleotide ribosomal RNA is filed under the name uncultured bacterium. RNAcentral describes it as "partial 16S ribosomal RNA". It matches the Rfam family "Bacterial small subunit ribosomal RNA", at positions 524 to 776 of the family's 1533-position model. The record is from RNAcentral.